This 253-nucleotide ribosomal RNA is filed under the name uncultured bacterium. RNAcentral describes it as "partial 16S ribosomal RNA". It matches the Rfam family "Bacterial small subunit ribosomal RNA", at positions 524 to 776 of the family's 1533-position model. The record is from RNAcentral.
UACGGGGGGGGCAAGCGUUGUUCGGAAUUACUGGGCGUAAAGGGCUCGUAGGCGGCCAACUAAGUCGGAUGUGAAAUCCCCAGGCUUAACCUGGGAACUGCAUCCGAUACUGGAUGGCUUGAAUCCGGGAGAGGGAUGCAGAAUUCCAGAUGUAGCGGUGAAAUGCGUAGAUAUCUGGAGGAAUACCGGUGGCGAAGGCGGCAUCCUGGACCGGCAUUGACGCUGAGGAGCGAAAGCUAGGGGAGCAAACGGG